Molecule: long non-coding RNA, 1723 nt
Organism: Mustela lutreola (European mink)
Lineage: Eukaryota; Metazoa; Chordata; Mammalia; Carnivora; Mustelidae
Exons: 4
Source: RefSeq, a predicted model, not a curated record
UGACGCUUAAUCUGCUGAGCCACCCAGGCACCCCUGGAAUAUGUUGUUUGCAAGCAAAAUAUGUCCAGGUCUUUGGUGAAGUUGCUGGACAUGUCCUCUAGGACACGGGCACUGUACAGUUCGUGUCUCCUCCUCCCCGUGUGUGCACAUAGGUCUGUGCAAGACUACUGGCUCUGGGCCAUGGAAGAACUCUCUCUUUGUACCUGCACUGCCCGUGUUCGUGCUUUGCCGUGCUGAGGCAUCUGCCUGGGAGACCGCCUGCUCAGCCGGCAGGUCAGAGCACUGUGCCAUUUGCUGUAGGAGCCCCGGCAUCACGUGCUCAUCCCAGGUGUGGGCACUUUCCUCGAAGGCCCCAGGGGCUGCCGUGUCCCAUCUGUCUUGGCUUGGCUCCCAGGCUUCUCUCCGUCUCUCUUAUAGGCACUGAGGGCUCCACGAGUGAUGUUUGAGGGGCUGGCCGUGUGCGAACACGGAUGGACAGCUGCAUCCCAGCACCCAGGACACCCAGCAUGCUUCUCUUCUGCAGAAGGUUGUGCCACUGUGGUGAGAAGAGACACGAAGUUUCCACACUGUGAUUUACCCACGGCGUUUGCCUCUGUUCAUUGCUCCAGCGCCUGGAUUCUGGCCACUGCCCUUCUCUUGGGAAAGUUCUGUCUCCCUUCAUGCCACAGUGUGGAUGCACCAUCGUCUGUGAAAGGGACCAAGACUACCCUUUGAUGUUUGAUUCCUUUAAAAUGAACAUCACUUGACAUGGGUAGCUUCUGCCUUACACCCUUGUGAUCUUCAGCUGAUGUCACGGUGAAACUGCGUGUAACUGGAGGGUUAUUGCUGGUUUCCUCUCAUGAACUGUGCUGCGGGAAGCUGGCGUGUCGCGUUAUCGCAGCUUCCACUCCUCUCCAGCUGUAUUCACGCAUGGAAAGUCAUCCUGGAGAGUUGGACACAAUUCCGUGUGUCCCGAGAUCAGUGGACAAGCAGCUGACGGUGGUUAAUACGGGGAACCUGCUCACGCACCUUUCUCACGCUCACAUGCGCGCAGAUGGCUGAAAUCGGACCCCAGAGCCCGCGCCGCAGGGCCCUUCAACAGGUGCGGUGACGUUCUGAUCGUCGUUACAGGAUGCACAGCCGUUGCUGCCGUCAGUUCUAUGCAUCGUUAGUACCCCCAAAAGAGCUUCCCUCCCCAUUUCUCCUCUAACUUCCCAGCUCUAGGGAACCUCCAGUCUACUUUGUGUGUCUAUAGUUUUGCCAUUUUUGACAAAAUAGUGGCAUUUUGUGUACUUGGAGUCACGCCAGCUGUGGGCAGGGGUCUGGCUGCUUUGGCUCCGCACAGCCUCUGCCAGUUCGCCCGUAUUAGUGGGAGGUGUCAGCACCUCGUUCCUCGUGCUGAGUCCUACUCCGCUGUGUGGACGCACCAACUGACUGAUGAAGGCCUGCUUCACGGACAUCCGGCUUGUCUGUACAAGGAACAGUGCUAUAAGUAUUUGUGUCUGUGUGGACACACGGCUCUGUUUCCUCGGGCACAGCCCUGGCAGUGCCUGGCGGAAUCCGACACUAGCUCUGUGUUUAGCCUUUUGAGACACCAUGAGACUUCUCUAGAGCAGCUGCCCCUGUGCACUAGCGCCCGGUGGGGUGCCGGUUUCUCUACAGCCUUGUCAACACUUGUUACUGUCUGUCUUUUUGGUCAUAACCAUCCUCCUGGUUUAGAUUGGCAUUACCCAAUGACUGAAAA